UCUUGUGUUGUUACUGGUUGGCUUUCUCCAAAUGUGAGAUUUAAAAAACAAAAAUUUAGAAACUAAGCAUGGUCAGGCCUGGUUAGUACUUGGAUGGGAGACCACCUAGGAAUACCAGGUGCUGUAGGCU
This 130-nucleotide ribosomal RNA is filed under the name Pteropus alecto (black flying fox). Lineage: Eukaryota; Metazoa; Chordata; Mammalia; Chiroptera; Pteropodidae. The record is from RNAcentral.